Molecule: ribosomal RNA, 548 nt
Filed under: uncultured bacterium
Lineage: Bacteria
Description: bacterial SSU rRNA
Rfam family: Bacterial small subunit ribosomal RNA
Source: RNAcentral
UAGGGAAUCUUCGGCAAUGGGGGCAACCCUGACCGAGCAACGCCGCGUGAGUGAAGAAGGUUUUCGGAUCGUAAAGCUCUGUUGUAAGUCAAGAACGAGUGUGAGAGUGGAAAGUUCACACUGUGACGGUAGCUUACCAGAAAGGGACGGCUAACUACGUGCCAGCAGCCGCGGUAAUACGUAGGUCCCGAGCGUUGUCCGGAUUUAUUGGGCGUAAAGCGAGCGCAGGCGGUUUGAUAAGUCUGAAGUUAAAGGCUGUGGCUCAACCAUAGUUCGCUUUGGAAACUGUCAGACUUGAGUGCAGAAGGGGAGAGUGGAAUUCCAUGUGUAGCGGUGAAAUGCGUAGAUAUAUGGAGGAACACCGGUGGCGAAAGCGGCUCUCUGGUCUGUAACUGACGCUGAGGCUCGAAAGCGUGGGGAGCGAACAGGAUUAGAUACCCUGGUAGUCCACGCCGUAACGAUGAGUGCUAGGUGUUGGAUCCUUUCCGGGAUUCAGUGCCGCAGCUAACGCAUUAAGCACUCCGCCUGGGGAGUACGACCGCAAGGUU